Triticum dicoccoides is the source of this 1588-nucleotide long non-coding RNA. RefSeq lists it as uncharacterized. NCBI's taxonomy places the organism in Eukaryota, Viridiplantae, Streptophyta, Magnoliopsida, Poales, Poaceae. The record is from RefSeq and is a predicted model, not a curated record. The transcript has 2 exons.
GACCUCUCGCCCCUCCUCAUCCUCCCAUGUGACGCCACAGCACGGGCGGGGACGCCGUUCGCCGAUGCUCGAGCGCCCAGGCCGUUCGCCGCCCAAGUGGUCCGCCGCACCGCCUCCCCCCAUCCUCCCGCGUCGUCGCCGCCCGCCGUUCUCUCCUCGCGUGUCUCCUGCCGCUUGCCCCACAUAGUGGUGCACCAUGGGUGCCAGCCAGAUCGAGCACGGGCUCUGCCUUCGUCGGCGGCGGCGGGGUUCCUCUCCUCCGCCGAGCAGCAGCGGCGGUGUGGGACGCAGCGGGAUCGGCCUGCCAGAGGGUCCUCUCCUCCGUCGAGCAGCGGCGUCCGCCCGGGACACAGCAAGCUCGGCGUGGCGAUGGAUUUCUCUGGCGGGUCAUUUGAAACCGCCGAUGUGCCGACGACUCCUCACCUAUGUUCCUCAAUCUGUAGCCGCGAGACACUGAAAGAGCCAUGGUUCUCUCUGUACAUAAAGAAAUCUUCUCAAUUUCAUGCUUCGAGGACGCGAGGAUGUGAAUCAACAUAGUGCAGAUGCCAAUAACAUGCAAAGAUGCCAAGGAAAGCCCUUCUGGAGGUUAGUGAGGAACUUACUAAAGGCACCAUGGAAUAUAUUGUUGUCGAGGAAGUAAAUGUUACUUAUGGACGAGUUAACGGAAUGCCAUUCUAAUUUUUACGACAUGAAUAUGUACUAUGUUUCCUAGAUGUUCACUUCAUAGCCUUUUCGUUGUAGGGGCAUUUUUAUUGCCUAAUUUGCUCCAUAAUUGAGUUGGGAAAAAUAGAUAACUUCAGAAUGUCAUCCAGUGAAUUAUGGAGAGUUAUUUAGAUUCAGAAUUGGUUUUCUGGAUCUGCUCGUAUGGGGAGUUAUUUAGAAAAGUUCAGAAUUGUUCCUUAUUUAAUCGUUAAGUACUCUCUGCUGAGGAUUUGUGUCUAUAAGUAUUAUUGCGCCAUGUGAUCGGGUUCCUUUUUUUAUCAGAAACAUUUCCACAACUUUAUUUUUUCAAAGUAAAUGUCGGAGAUUAGAGUCCAAUUACUGAACCCAAGGCAAAGUUUCAUUACUAUAUUUGUAUGUGAGCUCUGAGACAGACAGAUGCACUGCUGUCGAUAAAUGUGAGUUGUGAGGUAAGAUUGGUGAUUUUUUGGCUUUUGACCUUCUUGAGAGUACCUUCCUGAUGUUUUUUUUUACUGUGUUACGAGUAAAAGGUUCAGAGGAGUUUUGUCAAAUGCCACAACAUGCUUAUCAUCUCAUAGGCUGGUUCCUUCCCACCAUUGCACUUGUCCCGACUUCUUAUAUAGAAGAUGAUUUGGAAGUCCGAGAUAGAAUAUCAAUUACUGUAAUGCAGAUUACAUAUUAAGCAACUUCUGAAAGCAAGGACCAAGAGAAAUGUGGUCAGCUCUGUAAGAGUAAAGUGAUGUAAAAGCCUCUUUGAUUCAAGGAAUUUUUCAUACAAUUUUCUUUCUUCACGAAGUUUGAGGGCAUCUGCUUAGAAAACACAUAUUGAUGCUCUUUGACAUCUAUUUUAAACGCACCUUCUGUAAGUCGAUACACCAUUCUAUACAUUUCACUUGUUGUACUUCAA